GGAUGCUUUGGAGAUGUUGUAAUCCCUUUUUGUUGGAAGUUUCUCUCACAUUUUCAAGAAAGCAAGAGGCUUCAAAAUGGUCAGCAAUGGAAUUAUAGACUGCGACAGCAAGU
This 113-nucleotide microRNA precursor is filed under the name Glycine max (soybean). RNAcentral's name for it is "miR5668 stem-loop (gma-MIR5668)". The record is from miRBase by way of RNAcentral. Lineage: Eukaryota; Viridiplantae; Streptophyta; Magnoliopsida; Fabales; Fabaceae.